CCCUGGCUCAGGAUGAACGCUGGCGGCGUGCUUAACACAUGCAAGUCGAACGGUGAAGCCAAGCUUGCUUGGUGGAUCAGUGGCGAACGGGUGAGUAACACGUGAGCAACCUGCCCUGGACUCUGGGAUAAGCGCUGGAAACGGCGUCUAAUACCGGAUACGAGACACAACCGCAUGGUUAGUGUUUGGAAAGAUUUUUUGGUCUGGGAUGGGCUCGCGGCCUAUCAGCUUGUUGGUGAGGUAAUGGCUCACCAAGGCGUCGACGGGUAGCCGGCCUGAGAGGGUGACCGGCCACACUGGGACUGAGACACGGCCCAGACUCCUACGGGAGGCAGCAGUGGGGAAUAUUGCACAAUGGGCGCAAGCCUGAUGCAGCAACGCCGCGUGAGGGACGACGGCCUUCGGGUUGUAAACCUCUUUUAGCGAGGAAGAAGCGAAAGUGACGGUACUCGCAGAAAAAGCGCCGGC
RNAcentral lists this ribosomal RNA (468 nucleotides) under Micrococcineae bacterium CL1.48. RNAcentral describes it as "bacterial SSU rRNA". It matches the Rfam family "Bacterial small subunit ribosomal RNA", at positions 17 to 497 of the family's 1533-position model. The record is from RNAcentral. Lineage: Bacteria; Bacillati; Actinomycetota; Actinomycetes; Micrococcales.